GGGGUUGUGGCUCAGUGGUAGAGUGCUCACCUGGUAUGCAGGAAACACUGAGUUCAAUCCUCAGCACCA
RNAcentral lists this transfer RNA (69 nucleotides) under Ictidomys tridecemlineatus (thirteen-lined ground squirrel). RNAcentral describes it as "Spermophilus tridecemlineatus (thirteen-lined ground squirrel) tRNA". It matches the Rfam family "tRNA". From Rfam's summary of the family: Transfer RNA (tRNA) molecules are approximately 80 nucleotides in length. Lineage: Eukaryota; Metazoa; Chordata; Mammalia; Rodentia; Sciuridae. The record is from Rfam by way of RNAcentral.